Molecule: ribosomal RNA, 232 nt
Filed under: uncultured bacterium
Lineage: Bacteria
Description: partial 16S ribosomal RNA
Rfam family: Bacterial small subunit ribosomal RNA
Source: RNAcentral
AACGAACGCUGGCGGCAGGCCUAACACAUGCAAGUCGAGCGCCCCCUUCGGAGGGCAGCGAUCAGCGGUCGGCAUGACAGCGAUCAGAGUGAUCUGAUUGCUGAUCGGCUGAUAGCUGAUGGCUGCCUUCCGAGUGGGGGAGCGGCGGACGGGUGAGUAACGCGUGGGAAUUUUCCUCAAGGUAGGGAACAACUCAGGGGAAACUUGGGGCUAAUACCCAUGAUGCAGAGAU